GAUGAAGAACGCAGCGAAAUGCGAUAAGUAGUGUGAAUUGCAGAAUUCAGUGAAUCAUCGAAUCUUUGAACGCACAUUGCGCCCUUUGGUAUUCCAUCGGGCAUGCCUGUUCGAGCGUCAUUUUACUCUUCAAGCUUUGCUUGGUGUUGGGUGUUUGUUCUGCUUUGGCUUAAACUCACCUUAAAUUUAUUGGCAGCCAGUUCUGUCUUCUGUACGCAGCAGAGUGCGUUAGCGGAAGCAAAGUACUUGGUCCUCCAUAACCAUUCUUAGUUUGACCUCGGAUCAGGUAGGGAUACCCGCUGAACUUAAGCAUAUCAAUAAGCGGAGGA
This 329-nucleotide unclassified non-coding RNA is filed under the name soil metagenome. Its description in RNAcentral is "partial contains 5.8S ribosomal RNA, internal transcribed spacer 2, and large subunit ribosomal RNA". The stretch from base 1 to 120 matches the Rfam family "5.8S ribosomal RNA", at positions 35 to 154 of the family's 154-position model. The record is from RNAcentral.